Molecule: ribosomal RNA, 1023 nt
Filed under: Klebsiella sp.
Lineage: Bacteria; Pseudomonadati; Pseudomonadota; Gammaproteobacteria; Enterobacterales; Enterobacteriaceae
Description: bacterial SSU rRNA
Rfam family: Bacterial small subunit ribosomal RNA
Source: RNAcentral
GGGGGAAACGGUAUCGGAUUACUGGGCGUAAGCGCACGCAGGCGGUCUGUCAAGUCGGAUGUGAAAUCCCCGGGCUCAACCUGGGAACUGCAUUCGAAACUGGCAGGCUAGAGUCUUGUAGAGGGGGGUAGAAUUCCAGGUGUAGCGGUGAAAUGCGUAGAGAUCUGGAGGAAUACCGGUGGCGAAGGCGGCCCCCUGGACAAAGACUGACGCUCAGGUGCGAAAGCGUGGGGAGCAAACAGGAUUAGAUACCCUGGUAGUCCACGCCGUAAACGAUGUCGAUUUGGAGGUUGUGCCCUUGAGGCGUGGCUUCCGGAGCUAACGCGUUAAAUCGACCGCCUGGGGAGUACGGCCGCAAGGUUAAAACUCAAAUGAAUUGACGGGGGCCCGCACAAGCGGUGGAGCAUGUGGUUUAAUUCGAUGCAACGCGAAGAACCUUACCUGGUCUUGACAUCCACAGAACUUACCAGAGAUGCUUUGGUGCCUUCGGGAACUGUGAGACAGGUGCUGCAUGGCUGUCGUCAGCUCGUGUUGUGAAAUGUUGGGUUAAGUCCCGCAACGAGCGCAACCCUUAUCCUUUGUUGCCAGCGGUUAGGCCGGGAACUCAAAGGAGACUGCCAGUGAUAAACUGGAGGAAGGUGGGGAUGACGUCAAGUCAUCAUGGCCCUUACGACCAGGGCUACACACGUGCUACAAUGGCAUAUACAAAGAGAAGCGACCUCGCGAGAGCAAGCGGACCUCAUAAAGUAUGUCGUAGUCCGGAUUGGAGUCUGCAACUCGACUCCAUGAAGUCGGAAUCGCUAGUAAUCGUAGAUCAGAAUGCUACGGUGAAUACGUUCCCGGGCCUUGUACACACCGCCCGUCACACCAUGGGAGUGGGUUGCAAAAGAAGUAGGUAGCUUAACCUUCGGGAGGGCGCUUACCACUUUGUGAUUCAUGACUGGGGUGAAUCACAAAAGGGGGGAACCCAAAAGGCCGCAACAAAACCACCAUUUUUUUAAACGAAGGGAAAAACACAAAAAA